RNAcentral lists this non-coding RNA (27 nucleotides) under Bombyx mori (domestic silkworm). The record is from RNAcentral. Lineage: Eukaryota; Metazoa; Arthropoda; Insecta; Lepidoptera; Bombycidae.
UAUUCCAAAGCCACUAGUUGGGCGUCC